This 1777-nucleotide ribosomal RNA is filed under the name Meloidogyne javanica (root-knot nematode). Its description in RNAcentral is "SSU rRNA". It matches the Rfam family "Eukaryotic small subunit ribosomal RNA". Lineage: Eukaryota; Metazoa; Nematoda; Chromadorea; Rhabditida; Meloidogynidae. RNAcentral also lists the same sequence under 1 other name. The record is from RNAcentral.
UCUGGUUGAUCCUGCCUGAACUGAUGUGUUUAUUUCAAAGAUUAAGCCAUGCAUGUAUAAGUUUAAUCGUUUAUCGAGAAACCGCGAACGGCUCAUUACAAUGGCCAUUAUUUACUUGAUCUUGAUUGUCUAAAUGGAUAACUGUGGAAAAGCUAGAGCUAAUACAUGCACUAAAGCUUUGUCCUUACGGAAAAGCGCAUUUAUUAGAACAAAACCACGCGGCUUCGGCUGCUUCUUGUUGACUCAGAAUAACUUAGCUGACCGCAUGGCCUUGUGCCGGCGGCGUGUCUUUCAAGCGUCCACUUUAUCAACUUGACGGGAGCAUAAUCGACUCCCGUGGUGGUGACGGAUAACGGAGGAUCAGGGUUCGACUCCGGAGAAGGGGCCUGAGAAAUGGCCACUACGUCUAAGGAUGGCAGCAGGCGCGCAAAUUACCCACUCUCGGCUCGAGGAGGUAGUGACGAGAAAUAACGAGACUGUUCUCUUUGAGGCCGGUCAUCGGAAUGGGUACAAUUUAAACCCUUUAACGAGUAUCAAGCAGAGGGUAAGUCUGGUGCCAGCAGCCGCGGUAAUUCCAGCUCUGCAAAUACAUAGAAUUAUUGCUGCGGUUAGAAAGCUCAUAGUUGGAUUCGUAUCGAUACCUUGGAACCCUUCGGGUGUCUCUAGGUGUUAUCGAUUUAUCGUAAUGUUCGGUUUUGAGUCCUUAACAGGAUUCUUAACAGGCAUUGCAAGUUUACUUUGAACAAAUCAGAGUGCUUCAAACAGGCGUUUUCGCUUGAAUGAUCGUGCAUGGAAUAAUAGAAAAUGAUUUCGGUUCAGUUUUAUUGGUUUUACGGACUGAGAUAAUGGUUAACAGAGACAAACGGGGGCAUUUGUAUGGUCCCGUGAGAGGUGAAAUUCUUGGACCGUGGCCAGACAAACUACAGCGAAAGCAUUUGCCAAGAAUGUUUUUAUUAAUCAAGAACGAAAGUCAGAGGUUCGAAGGCGAUCAGAUACCGCCCUAGUUCUGACCGUAAACGAUGCCAACUAGCGAUCCGCCGAUGGAAAUUAUAUUGCCUUGGUGGGGAGCUUCCCGGAAACGAAAGUCUUCCGGUUCCGGGGGAAGUAUGGUUGCAAAGCUGAAACUUAAAGGAAUUGACGGAAGGGCACCACCAGGAGUGGAGCCUGCGGCUUAAUUUGACUCAACACGGGGAAACUCACCCGGCCCGGACACUGUGAGGAUUGACAGAUUGAUAGCUUUUUCAUGAUUCAGUGGAUGGUGGUGCAUGGCCGUUCUUAGUUCGUGGAGUGAUUUGUCUGGUUUAUUCCGAUAACGAGCGAGACUCUAACCUACUAAAUAGUUGGUACAUACUCUUAGUGUAUACAGCUUCUUAGAGGGAUUUGCGGCGUUCAGCCGAAAGAAAUUGAGCAAUAACAGGUCUGUGAUGCCCUUAGAUGUCCGGGGCUGCACGCGCGCUACACUGGCAAAAUCAACGUGCUUGUCCUACCCUGAAAGGGGCGGGUAAACCAUUGAAAAUUUGCCGUGAUUGGGAUCGGAAAUUGCAAUUAUUUUCCGUGAACGAGGAAUUCCAAGUAAGUGCGAGUCAUCAGCUCGCGUUGAUUACGUCCCUGCCCUUUGUACACACCGCCCGUCGCUGCCCGGGACUGAGCCAUUUCGAGAAAUUUGGGGACCGUUGAUUUAAUUUUUCUAAAUUACUUUGAUGGAAACCAAUUUAAUCGCAGUGGCUUGAACCGGGCAAAAGUCGUAACAAGGUAGCUGUAGGUGAACCUGCUGCUG